CCUACGGGUGGCAGCAGUGAGGAAUAUUGGUCAAUGGCCGAGAGGCUGAACCAGCCAAGCCGCGUGAGGGAAGAAUGUCCUAUGGAUUGUAAACCCUUUUUGCCAGGGAGCAAAGUCACCCACGUGUGGGUGUUGGAGAGUACCUGAAGAAAAAGCAUCGGCUAACUCCGGGCCAGCAGCCGCGGUAAUACGGAGGAUGCGAGCGUUAUCCGGAUUUAUGGGGUUAAAGGGGUGCGCAGGGGGAAGAUCAAGUCAGCGUGAAAGUUGAGAGGCUCAACCUCUUCGAGCCGUUGAAACUGGUUAUCUUGAGUGAGCGAGAGGUAUGCGGAAUGCGUGGUGUAGCGGUGAAAUGCAUAGAUAUCACGCAGAACUCCGAUUGCGAAGGCAGCAUACCGGCGCUCAACUGACGCUCAUGCACGAAAGUGUGGGUAUCGAACAGGAUUAGAUACCCGUGUAGUC
RNAcentral lists this ribosomal RNA (459 nucleotides) under uncultured bacterium. Its description in RNAcentral is "partial 16S ribosomal RNA". It matches the Rfam family "Bacterial small subunit ribosomal RNA", at positions 338 to 795 of the family's 1533-position model. The record is from RNAcentral.